RNAcentral lists this ribosomal RNA (467 nucleotides) under uncultured bacterium. RNAcentral's name for it is "partial 16S ribosomal RNA". It matches the Rfam family "Bacterial small subunit ribosomal RNA", at positions 28 to 507 of the family's 1533-position model. The record is from RNAcentral.
GACGAACGCUGGCGGCGUGCUUAACACAUGCAAGUCGAACGGAAAGGCCCUGCUUUUGUGGGGUGCUCGAGUGGCGAACGGGUGAGUAACACGUGAGUAACCUGCCCUUGACUUUGGGAUAACUUCAGGAAACUGGGGCUAAUACCGGAUAGGAGCUCCUGCUGCAUGGUGGGGGUUGGAAAGUUUCGGCGGUUGGGGAUGGACUCGCGGCUUAUCAGCUUGUUGGUGGGGUAGUGGCUUACCAAGGCUUUGACGGGUAGCCGGCCUGAGAGGGUGACCGGCCCCAUGGGGCUGGAGGAGGGGCCAGGCGCCCAAGGGGGGGAAAGGGGGGGAAAUUUGGCAAAAGGGGCGGAGCCUGAAGGGAGCACCGCCGGGUGGGGGAGGACGGCCUUGGGGGUGGAAACCCCUUUCGCCGGUAACGAGGGGGGGGGGCGGGAAAUGGGGAAAAAACACCCGGUAACCUCGUG